GCAUAUCAAUAAGCGGAGGAAAAGAAACCAACAGGGAUUGCCCUAGUAACGGCGAGUGAAGCGGCAACAGCUCAAAUUUGAAAUCUGGCUCUUUUAGAGUCCGAGUUGUAAUUUGCAGAGGGCGCUUUGGCGUUGGCAGCGGUCCAAGUUCUUUGGAACAGGACGUCACAGAGGGUGAGAAUCCCGUACGUGGUCGCUAGCCUUCGCCGUGUAAAGCCCCUUCGACGAGUCGAGUUGUUUGGGAAUGCAGCUCUAAAUGGGAGGUAAAUUUCUUCUAAAGCUAAAUACUGGCCAGAGACCGAUAGCGCACAAGUAGAGUGAUCGAAAGAUGAAAAGCACUUUGGAAAGAGAGUCAAAUAGCACGUGAAAUUGUUGAAAGGGAAGCGCUUGCAGCCAGACUUGCCUGUAGUUGCUUAUCCGGACUUUUGUCCGGUGCACUCUUCUGCGGGCAGGCCAGCAUCAGUUUAGGCGGUUGGAUAAAGGUCUCUAUCACGUACCUCCCUUCGGGGUUGGCCUUAUAGGGGAGACGACAUGCAACCAGCCUGAACUGAGGUCCGCGCAUCUGCUAGGAUGCUGGCGUAAUGGCUGUAAGCGGCCCGUCUUGAAACACGGACCAAGGAGUCUAACAUCUAUGCGAGUGUUUGGGUGUCAAGCCCAGACGCGUAAUGAAAGUGAACGGAGGUGGGAACCUUUUAGGUGCACCAUCGACCGAUCCUGAUGUCUUCGGAUGGAUUUGAGUAAGAGCAUGGCUGUUGGGACCCGAAAGAUGGUGAACUAUGCUUGAAUAGGGUGAAGCCAGAGGAAACUCUGGUGGAGGCUCGCAGCGGUUCUGACGUGCAAAUCGAUCGUCAAAUUUGGGCAUAGGGGCGAAAGACUAAUCGAACUAUCUAGUAGCUGGUUCCUGCCG
Molecule: ribosomal RNA, 907 nt
Filed under: Ophiosphaerella herpotricha
Lineage: Eukaryota; Fungi; Ascomycota; Dothideomycetes; Pleosporales; Phaeosphaeriaceae
Description: partial large subunit ribosomal RNA
Rfam family: Eukaryotic large subunit ribosomal RNA
Source: RNAcentral